AGCGUCUCGGCCUCCUCGUUA
Molecule: microRNA, 21 nt
Filed under: Human betaherpesvirus 5
Lineage: Duplodnaviria; Heunggongvirae; Peploviricota; Herviviricetes; Herpesvirales; Orthoherpesviridae
Description: hcmv-miR-UL70-5p
Source: RNAcentral